AAUGCCUGCGAACUGCCUGGUGCUCAAACUUGGACGCGAACCGAAAAUAAUGGUGUGCCCCGCACAAGUGAGCGGUCCGGUCACCGAGACCGAGUCCCGGGACUUGCGCUUGAGUUUGUAAAUUAGUUUCAUCGAGUCUGAAUAACUCCUCGGGCUUGUGUGUGUGUGUGUGUGUGUGUGUGUGUAAGUGCGCGCGCGCGCGCGCGUGUGUGUUUUUCUGAGGGGGGGGGGGGGAGUCUCGCUGGUAAUGGCCAGCAGUGGCUGAAGUGUUUUGAUCCAGUCAGUGACAGCCUGCAAACAGCAGGGAGAGCUGUGCGGCGACCACACUGCAUUUGAUUAUGAGAGCCUCCAAGAAGUGAAGGAAAUCUGGGAGCUGAUUUCUCGCCGGGACGAAAAAUAAUUUCGACGCAGUGUGCAGUGGAUCACAACCAAAGAAGCCAUGGAGGCCUCACAGGACCUCAACGAACAGAUGGUGAAGAAGUCACACAGUGAAUCUCAUGUUCCAGACCCUUCGGACGCCAGGUCUAUGGAAAUGCAGGACCUAGCCAGUCCUCAUAACCGCGUGGGAGGUGGAGAUUCGACAGGCUCCAAGCUAGACAAGAACAACCUUGGCAGUCCCUCCAUCACCACCAAUGGAACAGGAGGUGAGAA
Lates calcarifer (barramundi perch) is the source of this 651-nucleotide long non-coding RNA. RefSeq lists it as uncharacterized. The record is from RefSeq and is a predicted model, not a curated record. The transcript is spliced from 4 exons. Lineage: Eukaryota; Metazoa; Chordata; Actinopteri; Centropomidae.